This 292-nucleotide ribosomal RNA is filed under the name uncultured bacterium. Its description in RNAcentral is "partial 16S ribosomal RNA". It matches the Rfam family "Bacterial small subunit ribosomal RNA", at positions 505 to 796 of the family's 1533-position model. The record is from RNAcentral.
GUGCCAGCAGCCGCGGUAAUACGUAGGUGGCAAGCGUUGUCCGGAUUUAUUGGGUUUAAAGGGUGCGUAGGCGGUUUUAUAAGUCAGUGGUGAAAUACAACAGCUUAACUGUUGAGGUGCCAUUGAUACUGUAAGACUUGAGUACAGACGAGGUAGGCGGAAUUGACGGUGUAGCGGUGAAAUGCUUAGAUAUCGUCAAGAACACCGAUAGCGAAGGCAGCUUACUAGACUGUAACUGACGCUGAGGCACGAAAGUGUGGGGAUCAAACAGGAUUAGAAACCCCAGUAGUCC